Molecule: ribosomal RNA, 563 nt
Filed under: Sceloporus edwardtaylori
Lineage: Eukaryota; Metazoa; Chordata; Lepidosauria; Squamata; Phrynosomatidae
Description: partial 12S ribosomal RNA
Rfam family: Bacterial small subunit ribosomal RNA
Source: RNAcentral
CCAGCGCGGUUAUACGAGGGGCCCGAAGCAGCAGACCUCGGCGUAAAUAGUGGCUAGAAUAAUGACCAACAUAUUAAAAACUAAACUCUAGCCUAACCGUAAAACACAGGCUAGAUGAAACCAAACAUUUUUAAUAACAGGUAAUUUGACCCACGAAAACUAAGAAACAAACUAGGAUUAGAUACCCUACUAUGCUUAGUCGUUAAUAUGAUAUUGUUCUACUAAAAUAUCCGCCAGAAGACUACGAGCGAAAAGCUUAAAACUCAAAGGACUUGGCGGUGCUCCACACCGACUUAGAGGAGCCUGUCCUAUAAUCGAUACUCCACGCUAAACCUCACCAAUCUUUGCCAAAUCAGCCUAUAUACCGCCGUCGACAACCUACCUCAUGAGAGAAAAACAGUAAGUACAAAAGUUCAACAACUAAAACGUCAGGUCAAGGUGUAGCUAAUAGAAUGGAAGAGAUGGGCUACAUUUUUUAAGAUAAAACACACGGCACGGUACUAUGAAACUUCUACCUGAAGGAGGAUUUAAUAGUAAAACUAACAAGAAAGUUAAUUUAAAAU